ACUAUUUUGGCAGAAAAUUGUAAUGAUUUUAGAAGUCAUAAAUGUAUAGGUUAAUUAUAUAGGUAGUA
Molecule: transfer RNA, 68 nt
Filed under: Thaumetopoea processionea
Lineage: Eukaryota; Metazoa; Arthropoda; Insecta; Lepidoptera; Notodontidae
Description: transfer RNA-Leu
Source: RNAcentral